GUGGGGAAUAUUGGGCAAUGGGCGCAAGCCUGACCCAGCAACGCCGCGUGAGGGAAGAAGGUUUUCGGAUUGUAAACCUCUGUCGCAGGGGACGAGGAGAAGACGGUACCCUGUGAGGAAGCCCCGGCUAACUACGUGCCAGCAGCCGCGGUAAUACGUAGGGGGCGAGCGUUGUCCGGAAUGACUGGGCGUAAAGGGCGCGUAGGUGGUCAGGUAAGUUUGGAGUGAAAGUCCUAUUUUCAAGGUAGGAACUGCUUUGAAAACUGCCUGACUGGAGUGAUGGAGAGGAUAGCGGAAUUCCCGGUGUAGCGGUGAAAUGCGUAGAGAUCGGGAGGAACACCAGUGGCGAAGGCGGCUAUCUGGACAUAGACUGACACUGAGGCGCGAAAGCGUGGGUAGCAAACAGGA
Molecule: ribosomal RNA, 408 nt
Filed under: uncultured bacterium
Lineage: Bacteria
Description: bacterial SSU rRNA
Rfam family: Bacterial small subunit ribosomal RNA
Source: RNAcentral